UAAUCUAGUCUUCAUCUCCGCUUGAUUCAUUUCGUGCCAGUUAGUGAAAGGCGUGACGAAUUCAAGUUGAGGUGUUGCGUGCUGUCUGCAAGCUAGCAAUCCAAUUGGCUGUCGCUAGUUGGCUAAAAUGACGUCCACCAGGAGCGCCAUGUUGUUUCUAACAGACGCAGCCGAAAUGAGUGUUGAAUGUUUAUCGUGACGUUUCCCAGUGCUGAAAAUGAAAAGGUGAUUUAGCUUGUAAACUGUUGAUGGCCAAAUCAUCUCGUACCUUAAGUGCAUGUACAUUUCGCCAAUUUAUAGUGCAUCAAGCGUCUUGAGUUUUUUUUUGUUAUUUCCGUAAUCUAUACUUCAGAGCAAUUAAAGUAGGAGAUCCAUUUGCGGCAUUUGCUUGUCUAUCAAAUAAUUUGAGAUCACAACAAAGUCUGAGCUUCGUUGCUGUCAUGCAGAUGGUUUCGUUACAGCCACCUGGUGAAAAUUGAGUUCAAGUUGGGCUGCAGCUGCUGCAAGCAGUCUGUAGCCUUGAUGUCAUCCUGAAGUGUUCUCAAUGUGUCAGUCUAGGCUGAAGCUAAUUAAAGUGUGCUGUUCAAGUCUUAUCAUAGACGUCAAGCACAUUGAUAACAAAUUAUAAACAAGGUGAGAUGUCAAGCACAUUGACAACAAAUUAUAAGCAAGAUGACUUUCUUUUUUCAUAUAUUUGCAGGGUCCAAACUACAUGUUUCUAAAUUUGCAUACCAGACUAUGAGAAGUCAUGUCAUUUGAAGAAAAAGGGCAAUGACUACACAAGUACACAGUGAACAAGGUCCCUUGUUUAAAAACCCGUUGGCUGCUACCUGUGAAUCUCCCUUUUUACUUCCUUAAACGGGCCCU
Daphnia pulex (common water flea) is the source of this 867-nucleotide long non-coding RNA. RefSeq lists it as uncharacterized. The record is from RefSeq and is a predicted model, not a curated record. The transcript is spliced from 4 exons. NCBI's taxonomy places the organism in Eukaryota, Metazoa, Arthropoda, Branchiopoda, Diplostraca, Daphniidae.